This is a non-coding RNA of Acanthosepion pharaonis, 86 nucleotides long. The record is from the annotation of a GenBank genome assembly. Lineage: Eukaryota; Metazoa; Mollusca; Cephalopoda; Sepiida; Sepiidae.
AACCCAUACGAUCACCGAAGAUAAGCAACGUCGAGCGUGGUCAGUACCUAGAUGAAUGAUCACUUGAGAAUACCAGGUGUUGUAAG